CCCAGGGAGGUUAUGAGAAGGUGGAAGCAAAGAUUGGGGUGUGCAGUGACAAACCAAAGAAAAGCAAUGAUUGCCUAGGAUUGACAUCCAGCAGGUGCUUGAGGAAUGUUUGGCAAGGACAUAGAGUGAGAAUAUAAGUGAAACUGGAUGAGAUGGUGGUUACUUUUAAUGUCCUUGUUCCCCGUCUCCUCCACCAGUGACUACAGAGCCACACCCCUCCCGCCAGUCCUUCACGUCCUUCCACCUCCGACUCUACAGCCCCACUUCUGCGUCUCCUGUGCACUACAGACCAGAGAUCGAGAAGGCUGGUGGCGAGUAGUGCGCCCCCUGCUGGGACGUGUGCCCGGCUGGGUGCCUGUGACAUCUGUGGCGCCCCGAGCCCUGCUCCGCAGCAUCGGGAUCUGGGGGAGAAACCAUAAAGACAAAAACCGAAGAAAUCUGGGCCACAGGAACAAUAUCUUACCUUGGAUAUCAUCUGAGAAUACUCUGACAACUGGUUUGUGAAGCACUUGCAGACCGUAAGCAGACUUUCAAAAUUCCUG
Molecule: long non-coding RNA, 542 nt
Filed under: Fukomys damarensis (Damara mole-rat)
Lineage: Eukaryota; Metazoa; Chordata; Mammalia; Rodentia; Bathyergidae
Description: lncRNA (ENSFDAG00000023219.1)
Source: RNAcentral